CAGCAACCCAACUUGAACGGAGCUCUUUUUCUUUUGAAGAAAGAAAAAAGCGGGAGUGGAAGGUGGAUUAGUU
Molecule: small RNA, 73 nt
Filed under: Chryseobacterium geocarposphaerae
Lineage: Bacteria; Pseudomonadati; Bacteroidota; Flavobacteriia; Flavobacteriales; Weeksellaceae
Description: Flavo-1 RNA
Source: RNAcentral